Molecule: long non-coding RNA, 2110 nt
Organism: Balaenoptera ricei (Rice's whale)
Lineage: Eukaryota; Metazoa; Chordata; Mammalia; Artiodactyla; Balaenopteridae
Exons: 2
Source: RefSeq, a predicted model, not a curated record
GUCUGAGCCAGCUGGGAAGGAGAAAGGCACACUUUGACAGGAAGCCCCUGAGGGCAGGCUCACCUGGACCCCCUGGCACAACAGAUGCUCAAAGGCGGAUGACAGAAGCCGGCCUGCCACCCUCCAUUUGGACAGCAAGGACCCGAGAGGGGUUCACCUGGGAGCUUGAGUUUCUGGUCAUCUCAUAAUCUGGCCAGAGCCUCCCUCGAUCCUGCCUCUCGGUCCACUCGCUCCAAGGUCAAGUGGGUGCGGAGCACAGCGGAGGCCACAGCUCACUUGGAGAGGUAGCCCUGGGGAAAACUGUGCCUAUUUGCAGCCGAAGGAAGAUGCAAGAAACCCACACACACAGCGCCGUGGCCACUUUGGGGAUGACUAAAUUCAACUGAGAGAUGUGAAUUCCGCAAAAUCUACCCAACAGGAGAACUCUGGGCGCCAUGGACUCGGGAGGGGCCACCAGGACACUGGCUGACUGUCCCUAAGGGGUCCCAGGCCCUCCACCCUUUGAGGCCCAGAGCAGACACCCUCACUGGGGUGGCUGAGUCACUCCCAGUGCAGACGGGACCAGAGACCAGAGGGACACGCAGACGGCAGACGUUUAUCCACCGGGAGAAAGACACCCCGUGGGCAGAGCCCGUUCAUCGGCACCAAGUGCUGGGUCUCCAGGCCCCCAGCACAAAGCCACCCUGCCUGUUCACUGCAGCAUCUUCAGCAGCCAUUAGAGGGCCUUCCUGAGCCAGGGCCUGGAGCCCAGCUGUGGGGUCAGGGUUUAAGAAGACCUUAGGGAAAAAAAAAAAAAGAAGCCCUUAGGAAACCCUUCAGUACCUCAGCUGAUUAAUUAAAUUAAUUCUGAUCUUCCAUGUUUCCUGCAAAGCUGUCAAUGGAUAAAGGCAGAGAGCCGGGCAUUUUGCUCUGGAGGAACGACAGCAAGGCCGGGUCUGCCACUGCUCUGUGCCCACUCUGCGUGAGCUCCUUCACUUGCUCUGGCCCCUAGAAUCCUCCUGAACCCAUCUCACAGAUGACGAACCUGAGGCAAAGAUGGCUCACAGGGCCACACAGCCAGGAGGGGGCCAAGCUGAGCCAGAAAAGCAAAAACUGAGCCAGAGCUUCCUGAACCUGUCCUUGGAGACGGUCUCAACCCCUGAAGAGGUCAGUUUCAAUGCAGGUUUUGCCCCUGCCUGCUCCGAGGGCCCAGGUGGGGCCCUAGAAUCUGCAUUUUAGCUGUCUCUCUGGGAGACUCCGAUCCCAGAGGUCUGGGGUGGGAGACCCGUGGCCACAGGGCAGGACAGCCCAGAGCCCAGACUCAGUCACCCAGGGCAGGCUCCUCGGCUGCCUGCUCACCCCCUGCUGCGUGCCAGGCCCUGUUUAGUGUUAGUAAAGAGGGGCAAAGUCCCGGCCCUGGUGGAGCUAACAUGCCAGAGGAAGGGAGGUGAUAAACACAUAGAGGAACAUACAAUGUCACUCUAGGAACUGGACGAAAGCAGGGCAUGGGGAUGGGGUGGGGGGCUCCCCAGCCAAGCCCCUUUUGAGGAGCUGAGAGUUGAGCAGGGACCUGGGUUCUGGAGAUGACCUGUUCCAGGCUGGGAGGAGGAGCUCCCACCCGGCGGAAGCAGUCAGUGCAAAGGCCCUGAGGUGGGAAUGAGCUUGGAGUUGUGAGGGUGCAGCCAGGUCCCCUUGGGCUCUGAGGCACUGAGCUUGGGUUUUAUUCCAAGUGAGAGGGGGGCCAUUGACAGCCCUGUCCUCCCCACCAGUCUUUGCCCAGGAGCUUUGGAACCUGUUCCGGUGCUUCCAUCCUAGAACCACACCUGCCCUGGCCCCCAGCCUCGCCCUGCGCACCCUCCGGCACGGCCUAACACUCCAGAAGGUCUACACAGCAGGUGCCUCGGCCCACCCUCACCUCACUCACCCUGUGACACCUUGAGCUCCAGCCUUGCUCCCCACCCCACCUGGGGUCCAAAUAGCCUCCCAUCACUGAAUUCAUCAGAUUCCAGGGUGAGAACAUUUACGACCCUUUUUUUUUUUUUUACCUGCUGGUGUUUCUAAAUUUUCCAAACCCAACCUGUCUUGUGUAAGAAAUUAUAAAAGCUGUGCAAAAUAAAAACUCUACCAUGCA